AACGAACGCUGGCGGCGUGCCUAACACAUGCAAGUCGAACGAGAAAAUCCUUCGGGAUGAGUACAGUGGCGCACGGGUGAGUAAUGCUUGGGUAACCUGCCUUAAAGACCGGGACAACCUUCCGAAAGGAGGGCUAAUACUGGAUAAGACCACGCGAACUGCGGUUCGUGAGGUCAAAGGGAGCUCACAAGGUUUCGCUUUGAGAUGGGCCCAAGUCGCAUUAGCUAGAUGGUAGGAACGCCUACCAUGGCUGCGAUGCGUAGCUGGUCUGAGAGGACGAUCAGCCACACUGGAACUGAGACACGGUCCAGACUCCUACGGGAGGCAGC
This 329-nucleotide ribosomal RNA is filed under the name uncultured bacterium. RNAcentral's name for it is "bacterial SSU rRNA". It matches the Rfam family "Bacterial small subunit ribosomal RNA", at positions 29 to 352 of the family's 1533-position model. The record is from RNAcentral.